RNAcentral lists this ribosomal RNA (468 nucleotides) under uncultured bacterium. Its description in RNAcentral is "partial 16S ribosomal RNA". It matches the Rfam family "Bacterial small subunit ribosomal RNA", at positions 28 to 507 of the family's 1533-position model. The record is from RNAcentral.
GACGAACGCUGGCGGCGUGCUUAACACAUGCAAGUCGAACGGAAAGGCCCUGCGUUUGUGGGGUGCUCGAGUGGCGAACGGGUGAGUAACACGUGAGUAACCUGCCCUUGACUUUGGGAUAACUUCAGGAAACUGGGGCUAAUACCGGAUAGGAGCUCCUGCUGCAUGGGGGGGGUUGGAAAGUUUCGGCGGUUGGGGCUGGACUGGCGGCUUAUCAGCUUGUUGGUGGGGUAGUGGCUUACCAAGGCUUUGACGGGUAGCCCGCCUGAGAGGGUGACCGGCCACAUUGGGACUGAGAUACGGACCAGACUCCUACGGGAGGCAGCAGUGGAGAAUAUUGCACAAUGGGCGGAAGCCUGAUGCAGCAACGCCGCGUGCGGGAUGAUGGCCUUCGGGUUGUAAACAGCUUUCGCCUGUGACGAAGCGUGAGUGACGGUAAUGGGUAAAGAAGCACCGGCUAACUACGUG